This is a long non-coding RNA of Astatotilapia calliptera (eastern happy), 329 nucleotides long. The record is from Ensembl. NCBI's taxonomy places the organism in Eukaryota, Metazoa, Chordata, Actinopteri, Cichliformes, Cichlidae.
UUCCACUCACUGAGAGCUCACUGACAUCCCAGUUAAUAAUAAGCAAGAUUUUUUUUUUCUUCAUGUUAACUGGUGUUGGGUUGAGGAGGCGGGGGUGGGGUGUCAAACUGAGUCAAUGGAGUCAUUGUCUGACCCUCGUGUCUUCGUCCGAAAGUCAUCGCUCUCCGAACUCGCGCACCCAGAGCGGCGACGUUUGAAAGGAAAGGAGUUGUUGUGGUUCACUGAGGCUUGUAAUCCUGGAGCGGUCUUGAAACAAGCAGGCGAGGCGCAGACGAUCAGUGAGAACCUCUUACUGCUUCAAAAUGCUCUCUCAGAAUCUAACCUUCAAC